Long non-coding RNA from Cornus florida, 1370 nucleotides. RefSeq lists it as uncharacterized. NCBI's taxonomy places the organism in Eukaryota, Viridiplantae, Streptophyta, Magnoliopsida, Cornales, Cornaceae. The transcript is spliced from 2 exons. The record is from RefSeq and is a predicted model, not a curated record.
ACUACUGCCUCAUUUUAGUGCCAAACACUUCAUUUCACACCACACUCUGUACCUUAGCAUUAUCCAAGACCAAUCAAUUCCUUCCUAUUUUGUACAUUCAUACCUCAUUUUCUCUCACCUCAACCAGAAAUUUCAACCAAUUUUCGUAUUUGGGUUUCUGAAUUUACACCAAGACCCUAUAUUUUUUUUGUACUUUUCAGUCUCUUAAAGGUGUUUGUCAAGUAGGGGAGUUGAUUUGUCUGGCAAAAAAACCUUAUCAGAAUUCAAGCAAUUCUCUCAUCUAGCCUUUCUUAAUUACAUAAAAAUCUUCAAUUCUUGUGGGCCUUUCCUAGAGCUCUAAUUGGUGAUCUAUACUGUUAUAAUGGACGAUCCUAAUGACGCGUUGGUGGGUUAACUCAGCAAGACCGUAAGGGACAUUUCUAAGCUGCCCAAGUGCCUCACACCUAGAAGAAGAUUUAUGGUAAUUUGGUUCCGAAAGUGAAGCUAUUGAGCCUCUGUUUGAGAAAUUAAAGGACGGCAACGAAGAGGUUGGUGACUAUAAGAGGACAAACAAGCAGGAGAAGGACAAAACAUCAGUUUGUCAGGAAGAUGUAGGAAACGAGACGUGGGGAGACCCUUUGUGAAAAUAUCAGCAGUUUGAUGGUCUGAUCGAAUGAAGUGCACCUAAAGAGUUCCAUUUACAAUUAAUUCCUCAAUGAAAUGAUAGUCAAUCUCAACAUGCUUGGUGCGGGUAUGAAAGACGGGAUUGGCAACAAUAUAUGUGGCACAUAUAUUAUCACAGUAGAGAGAACUGGGUGUAGGGGGACAAAUAUAAAGGUCUCAAAGAAGGUAAUGGAGCCAAAUAAGUUCAGCAGUGGCAUAGGCAAGAGCUCGGUAUUUAGCUUCAGCACUACACCGGGCAACAGUGGGUUGGUUUUUGCAAGACCAGGAAAUAAGAUUAGAACCAAGAAAUAUGUAGAAUCCAGUUGUAGAACGACGAAAAUCAGGGCAGCCAGCCCAGUCAGCAUCAGGGAAGGCAGUAAGUGCAAGAGAGGAAUUUGAGUUGAGAUGAAUUCCCAUAUGAAUGGUGCCUUUGAUAUAGCGAAGAAUGCAUUUAGCAGCGGUAAAAUGUACCGUUGUCAGAGAAUGCAUAAAUUGGCAGGCUUGAUUAAUAGCAUAGGUUAUAUCAGGCUUUGUCAAGGUAAGAUACUGAAGAGUUCCCACGAUUUGCCGGUGCCAGUAAGAUGAAGGAUCGGGUAAGGGAUCUGUUGGGAUUUAUAUGCCCUGGCAUAGCAAAUUCCUGUUUGGAUUAAUUGACAUAUGUUUCUGACGUUUCUGAAAUAUUUAUGUUUUAUACAAUUGGUGAAUUCAAUGUAUUAUAUUUCGAUUCA